CUGGAGGACCGAACCGACUAAUGUUGAAAAAUUAGCGGAUGACUUGUGGCUGGGGGUGAAAGGCCAAUCAAACCGGGAGAUAGCUGGUUCUCCCCGAAAGCUAUUUAGGUAGCGCCUCGUGAAUUCAUCUCCGGGGGUAGAGCACUGUUUCGGCAAGGGGGUCAUCCCGACUUACCAACCCGAUGCAAACUGCGAAUACCGGAGAAUGUUAUCACGGGAGACACACGGCGGGUGCUAACGUCCGUCGUGAAGAGGGAAACAACCCAGACCGCCAGCUAAGGUCCCAAAGUCAUGGUUAAGUGGGAAACGAUGUGGGAAGGCCCAGACAGCCAGGAUGUUGGCUUAGAAGCAGCCAUCAUUUAAAGAAAGCGUAAUAGCUCACUGGUCGAGUCGGCCUGCGCGGAAGAUGUAACGGGGCUAAACCAUGCACCGAAGCUGCGGCAGCGACACUAUGUGUUGUUGGGUAGGGGAGCGUUCUGUAAGCCUGUGAAGGUGGCCUGUGAGGGUUGCUGGAGGUAUCAGAAGUGCGAAUGCUGACAUAAGUAACGAUAAAGCGGGUGAAAAGCCCGCUCGCCGGAAGACCAAGGGUUCCUGUCCAACGUUAAUCGGGGCAGGGUGAGUCGACCCCUAAGGCGAGGCCGAAAGGCGUAGUCGAUGGGAAACAGGUUAAUAUUCCUGUACUUGGUGUUACUGCGAAGGGGGGACGGAGAAGGCUAUGUUGGCCGGGCGACGGUUGUCCCGGUUUAAGCGUGUAGGCUGGUUUUCCAGGCAAAUCCGGAAAAUCAAGGCUGAGGCGUGAUGACGAGGCACUACGGUGCUGAAGCGACAAAUGCCCUGCUUCCAGGAAAAGCCUCUAAGCAUCAGGUAACAUCAAAUCGUACCCCAAACCGACACAGGUGGUCAGGUAGAGAAUACCAAGGCGCUUGAGAGAACUCGGGUGAAGGAACUAGGCAAAAUGGUGCCGUAACUUCGGGAGAAGGCACGCUGAUAUGUAGGUGAAGCGACUUGCUCGUGGAGCUGAAAUCAGUCGAAGAUACCAGCUGGCUGCAACUGUUUAUUAAAAACACAGCACUGUGCAAACACGAAAGUGGACGUAUACGGUGUGACGCCUGCCCGGUGCCGGAAGGUUAAUUGAUGGGGUUAGCGGUAACGCGAAGCUCUUGAUCGAAGCCCCGGUAAACGGCGGCCGUAACUAUAACGGUCCUAAGGUAGCGAAAUUCCUUGUCGGGUAAGUUCCGACCUGCACGAAUGGCGUAAUGAUGGCCAGGCUGUCUCCACCCGAGACUCAGUGAAAUUGAACUCGCUGUGAAGAUGCAGUGUACCCGCGGCAAGACGGAAAGACCCCGUGAACCUUUACUAUAGCUUGACACUGAACAUUGAGCCUUGAUGUGUAGGAUAGGUGGGAGGCUUUGAAGUGUGGACGCCAGUCUGCAUGGAGCCGACCUUGAAAUACCACCCUUUAAUGUUUGAUGUUCUAACGUGGGCCCCUUACCGGGGUUGCGGACAGUGUCUGGUGGGUAGUUUGACUGGGGCGGUCUCCUCCUAAAGAGUAACGGAGGAGCACGAAGGUUGGCUAAUCCUGGUCGGACAUCAGGAGGUUAGUGCAAUGGCAUAAGCCAGCUUGACUGCGAGCGUGACGGCGCGAGCAGGUGCGAAAGCAGGUCAUAGUGAUCCGGUGGUUCUGAAUGGAAGGGCCAUCGCUCAACGGAUAAAAGGUACUCCGGGGAUAACAGGCUGAUACCGCCCAAGAGUUCAUAU
RNAcentral lists this ribosomal RNA (1758 nucleotides) under human gut metagenome. Its description in RNAcentral is "bacterial LSU rRNA". It matches the Rfam family "Bacterial large subunit ribosomal RNA", at positions 766 to 2505 of the family's 2925-position model. The record is from RNAcentral.